GCUCAUUAAAUCAGUUAUCGUUUAUUUGAUAGUACCUUACUACUUGGAUAACCGUGGUAAUUCUAGAGCUAAUACAUGCUAAAAACCCCGACUUCGGGAGGGGUGUAUUUAUUAGAUAAAAACCAAUGCCCUUCGGGGCUCCUUGGUGAAUCAUGAUAACUUAACGAAUCGCAUGCCUUGCGCCGGCGAUGGUUCAUUCAAAUUUCUGCCCUAUCAACUUUCGAUGGUAGGAUAGUGGCCUACCAUGGUAUCAACGGGUAACGGGGAAUUAGGGUUCUAUUCCGGAGAGGGAGCCUGAGAAACGGCUACCACAUCCAAGGAAGGCAGCAGGCGCGCAAAUUACCCAAUCCCGACACGGGGAGGUAGUGACAAUAAAUACUGAUACAGGGCUCUUUUGGGUCUUGUAAUUGGAAUGAGUACAAUUUAAAUACCUUAACGAGGAACAAUUGGAGGGCAAGUCUGGUGCCAGCAGCCGCGGUAAUUCCAGCUCCAAUAGCGUAUAUUAAAGUUGUUGCAGUUAAAAAGCUCGUAGUUGAACCUUGGGCCUGGCUGGCCGGUCUGCCUCACCGCAUGUACUGGUUCGGCCGGGCCUUUCCUCCUGGGGAUCCGCAUGCCCUUCACUGGGUGUGUUGGGGAACCAGGACUUUUACUUUGAAAAAAUUAGAGUGUUCAAAGCAGGCCUUUGCUCGAAUACAUUAGCAUGGAAUAAUAGAAUAGGACGUGCGGUCCUAUUUUGUUGGUUUCUAGGACCGCCGUAAUGAUUAAUAGGGAUAGUCGGGGGCAUCAGUAUUCAGUUGUCAGAGGUGAAAUUCUUGGAUUUACUGAAGACUAACUACUGCGAAAGCAUUUGCCAAGGAUGUUUUCAUUAAUCAGUGAACGAAAGUUAGGGGAUCGAAGACGAUCAGAUACCGUCGUAGUCUUAACCGUAAACUAUGCCGACUAGGGAUCGGGCGAUGUUAUUCUUUUGACUCGCUCGGCACCUUACGAGAAAUCAAAG
This 997-nucleotide ribosomal RNA is filed under the name Neodeightonia arengae. Its description in RNAcentral is "SSU rRNA". It matches the Rfam family "Eukaryotic small subunit ribosomal RNA", at positions 96 to 1103 of the family's 1831-position model. Lineage: Eukaryota; Fungi; Ascomycota; Dothideomycetes; Botryosphaeriales; Botryosphaeriaceae. The record is from RNAcentral.